Molecule: long non-coding RNA, 3185 nt
Filed under: Rattus norvegicus (Norway rat)
Lineage: Eukaryota; Metazoa; Chordata; Mammalia; Rodentia; Muridae
Description: long non-coding RNA NONRATT004753
Source: RNAcentral
UGACCGCGUCACAGCUGAAGGAGGAGCUGCUAGAUGGAGAGGAGUAUAGCUUCCUUCACGGAGCAUCUGACCAAGAGAGCAAUGGCUCUGCCACCGUCUACAUCAAACAGGAGCCAUAGGCGACUCAGCAGCUGUGGGUGGAAGGGGCUGUUUACAGGACUGAUCUGUAGUCGGCCCGCCGCAGAGCAGGCCAUUCUACUGGGACAUUUUGCUAAAUACAGAAAAGUUCAGUUCCAGAUUUUUCAGGUGGGGGGGAAACUAUUUUGGUGGGGGGACAAUUUUUCAAUUUAUAAAGACGGACAAUUUUUGUGUUGUAUUUGAAGCUUUUGAAAGAAUUUUGUAAUAUUUUCCAAGUUUGGAUUUAUGUGCAUUGUUAACAAGAACUGAAAUUAUAACUUUUUUGGUAAGAUAAAAGUUUAGGUAGCAGGAUUGAAGGAAAUGAUUAAGAAGGAUAUUUGUAAAUGCAAAUGAACUGUCAUUACAAAUGAACCUUCUUGGUACCUGUUGGGAGAUUUUUGGAUUUUAGAGUUAGGCCAGUCACAUCUCCAGCUUCCUUUGCUGCGAAAAUAUGCAACUGAACCCCUCACAGAGGGCUCAUCACCAUGUAGAUCACGGAAGGGGUCAUUAAUUGUGCUCGCUGACAUUUUAUUGCAGCCCGUUUAACUGUUUGUACAGAAAUUUUUUCAUUCUGGUAAAAAUUUAUUUGGAGUUGUAUAUGAAACUAGGAGAACUCUGGAUACUUUUUUAUGCUCUCCUUCACAUAAAAAUGAUUAAAAUUUUCUAACACUAAAGUGUUAAACUGGAAUGGUUGACAAAAUACACAGGAUCUCAGUCUACAUAAAGGGUUGGGGGAAAUUAAUAUUUUCCUAAGUUUAUUCUGUUUUCCUUGCUAGAAAACAUCCCACUGAAGGGAUGUUCUUACCAGACCUCUGCCACGUCCUCCAUUUGUGAGAGCAGCCACCCCUAAAGCAGACACCGUUCUGAACUCACGAAAGACUCAGACGGGAAUGUCGGCAGCCAUUCCAGCUCCACUCUUAACUGUCCUGAAUUUGUUAGAAACUGAUCUGAAAGAAAAUUUGUCUUAAAAUUCCAUAUACACGCACACACGCACGCACGCACACACACACAACGAAUUGUCUUUAAUUAUAGUCAGAAUUUUUUCUAACAAUAACUGAUUUGGACCAUUUUAAACAUUCCCUGUUCUAAAGUUCAUGCGGCUUCCUUUAAGAAGUAGGACAAAAGGGUAAAUUUGUGACAGGUUUGCUCUCUGCGCUUCCUAACCUACAGAAUUGUGACUGAAUCAGAGAGCUCUAGCAUUUACCAGUGAGGUUCAUAAACUAAACUCUCAGGAAUUCAUUGCAUCUGUUCUAGAAGUGCUUCUGGGUCUGAGCCUGGCCUCUUCAGAGUGGUAAUACUGCCCAUUUCCUCUGGAAAAUAGGCAGGGCUAAUGAGAAAUUAAUCAAAAUGAUUAACCUCUUUCGCCCGUUAGCCUAUGGAAUGCUUUAAAAAAAAAAAAAAAAGAAAAGAAAAAAAUGGUAAUGGAAACCCCAGGAGACAUUUUAGGUAAGAUUUUUGUUUGACUUUUAAAUGCAUAGAACAUUAAAAACCAGCAAUUUAUUUUCUAAAAUAUUGCUCUACUUUUGGGAAUAAUAGCAUUGGUAAUAUGCACAGGUUUACCUCAUUCUAUGCAAGAGGGGUUAAUAACAUAAGGUUUUGUAGUAGCUACUGGAAGUAAAAUGUGUUACUUUUUAGUGUAAAAAUGUAUGGAAUCGCAUGUCACCAUUUUUUAAUACUGACUCUGGGGGCUAAAUGCAGAUCAUCACAUCAAUGCAAGUUGAUUCUUGUGUCAAAUAUAUGUGAAUUCAGCUGUAAAAUUACUGGAUAUUUAUCUUAAACAACAGUGCUGAGAGGGACCUACUGUAAAUGUGACAUCCUCACACUUCCCCAAUCUUUGACUUUGAAGGAUCUUCCCAGAAGCUUAAAGCCUAGACGAGGUCCAAAGCAAAGGUCAUAGCAGUCUUUAUUCUCAGGCUCAGCGGAUUACGCCCAGGACUGUGCUUCCGAGGCACCAGUGCAAGAAGCCUGUAGUAUGUAUGGGGUGCUCUCAUGCCUUGCUGUAGGAGCUCUCCAGGGAACUAACUCACUCGACGCCAGGAAGGAUGUGAUUGAAGCCAGCCAGUCCUGGUAAUUAGUUCUGUGAAAUGCUCAUUUGUAGCCAGGUUUUACAAGCUUCCAAUUCUACACCAAAACCAGGCUUGGCAUGUUUAGAAUUCCCCGCCUACAUUCAUAAAGUGUCUAUGUUCACUAAUAGAUCGGUAAGGACUUGCUAGAGUCCAAACAGAAUCCGAAGCCCUCUUCUUCGUUAAGACCCUCACUCCUGCUGCUAACACAGAGCGUUAACCAGAGGAGGCGUCCAUCGUAGCCAUACUUCCUGUCGUCCUACAACUCAGUAGCCCGUUCUCUUUCACAGUUGAACAUGUGCUGCUGACCUUGGGUUUGUUUGUGUUUUCCUGUUAGAAGCCUGGGAACUCUGAGUAGUCUAACCUUUUUAACCUUUUUCCUUGCUGUGUAUGAGGAAAGCUAAGCCGUUAUCAGCUUCUUAUUCUGCGGAUACUAACACGGGUUUUCAGUGUUUGUUUGUUUUUAUUAUUAAUUAAUUUUGUGUGAUGUGAAUACCCUCGCCCGUCAAUAUUUGUAUUAUGGUGCUAUAUAUUUGGUAAUGAUCCUUUAAUAUUGGGGAGGGAUUUUAAAAAUACUGUGAUUAAACUGGGUAUCUUCCUUUGAUUUUCAUAUUUUAAAUAAAGCCACAGUCAUUUAUACAAAAACAAACAAAAAAAGCAUCUGUCCCUGGGCAAACCUUUCAAGGACAGAGGCCAAAGUAAAGUACAUAAGGUUUUUACAUUGUUUCUGUGUUCGUUUGAUAUAUAGAACAAUAUCUGGACAAAUUUAAUCUUUUAUUUUCUGGUAACUUGUGAUCAUUGAGGAAGUGUUUGAAGCUUUCUCAUGGAAUGUAUAUAAUGUCGUGAAAAAUUCAGAGAAAUUUAUGUUCCUUUCAUUUUUACCAAAAUGCAAAUUUUCAGCAUGGAUGUGAAAAGCAUUAAAAUUAUAACUUUGUGUACAAGAUGAAAAUAAUUCACUAAAUUUGCCCUUUUUUUACACAAAAUAAAAUGUUAAAGUUAAGCUUU